GGGUGCUAGAAUGCAGUCGACGCGAAAGCUCCCUUCGGGGAGCAGGUAGAGUGGCGCACGGGUGAGUAACACGUAGGUAAUCUACCUUUGGAUGGGGAAUAACAACCGGAAACGGUUGCUAAUACCGCAUAAUGCAGCGGCACCUAAUGGUGACAGUUGUUAAAGCGGGGGAUCGCAAGACCUCGCGUCUGAAGAGGAGCCUGCGGCAGAUUAGCUAGUUGGUAAGGUAACGGCUUACCAAGGCGAUGAUCUGUAGCCGGCCUGAGAGGGCGGUCGGCCACACUGACACUGACAUACGGGUCAGACUCCUACGGGAGGCAGCAGUUGGGAAUUUUGGGCAAUGGGCGAAAGCCUGACCCAGCAACGCCGCGUGAAGGAUGAAAUCCCUCGGGAUGUAAACUUCGCAAGAACGGGAAGAAUAAGUAAGAGUUAAUAUCUCUUACGAUGACGGUACUGUUUGUAAGCUCCGGCUAACUCCGUGCCAGCAGCCGCGGUAAUACGGGGGGAGCAAGCGUUGUUCGGAUUUACUGGGCGUAAAGGGCGCGUAGGCGGCCUCUGCAAGUCGACUGUGAAAUCUCCGGGCUUAACCCGGAAAGGUCAGCCGAUACUGCAGGGCUAGAGUGCAGAAGGGGCAACUGGAAUUCUCGGUGUAGCGGUGAAAUGCGUAGAUAUCGAGAGGAACACCUGCGGCGAAGGCGGGUUGCUGGGCUGACACUGACGCUGAGGCGCGAAAGCUAGGGGAGCGAACGGGAUUAGAUACCCCGGUAGUCCUAGCCUUAAACGAUGAAUGCUUGGUGUCUGGGGUUUUAUAGUCCCCGGGUGCCGUCGCUAACGCUUUAAGCAUUCCGCCUGGGGAGUACGGUCGCAAGACUGAAACUCAAAGGAAUUGACGGGGACCCGCACAAGCGGUGGAGCAUGUGGUUUAAUUCGACGCAACGCGAAGAACCUUACCUGGGCUAGA
RNAcentral lists this ribosomal RNA (961 nucleotides) under uncultured bacterium. Its description in RNAcentral is "bacterial SSU rRNA". It matches the Rfam family "Bacterial small subunit ribosomal RNA", at positions 42 to 984 of the family's 1533-position model. The record is from RNAcentral.